UAAGUUCAUUGUGCCUGACCAUUUCUUUUUUGGUUUCAGAUGUGACACAUUGAAGGAUUACUGGUACAUUGGAGAAAACUGAAUUCCUGGUCCAUACGUUGACUGUCACCAUCGUGACAGUAGUGGUGGUUCUGAUAAUCAUAGUCACAUUGAUAGUACUGACUGUGUAUUGUACAAGAUACCAACAUAUGGUCAAGCAAAACCAUUCAUCAAGGAAAUGUGACUUAUGCCAUCAGAGUGACAGUAAAAAUAGAGAACAGGAAUUACUCCAUUGAACUGGCAAACAGAUCAUCUGAAACAUUCUCAAAGGAGUUUAAGGAACAGGACGAAGACCCCAAAUCAGAUAUUGAAAUGGUGGGAGGAGGACAACUGGGAGUGGCGUGUAUCCCAAGGUUUAACUCUCAGCAACCUUGCUACUGCAAAUGUUCACGAUACUCAGAACUGAAGAGCCAUUCGCCAGAACAGAGGACAUGAACUCACCUUUCAGGAUCAAAAUGGUGAGGCUGCAGAUGACGGAAGCAUACACUGUUUAAGUUCUCCUGGUCUGAUUAACACCUCACCUUCUCCACUCCAGAAACCAUGCAUCAGACUGACAAACAGAACUGGUCUGCAACGAUCUGAUUACGACAUCAUGUGGAACCAUUUUUUUUCUUUCCUUGAUUUAGUUCCAUUAAAAGAUCACAGUUAAUUAUUUGUUAUAUUUGGUUUUGAUCUUAAGGCCAGGAAGCUUGCAUGAAAAUCAGUGGGGGUCAAUUACCGUGUGUGUCCCAUAGGAUAUCAAAUUAACUUGUCAAGGGUGAAGGGAAGGGACAUUCCUGCAAUGGAAUACCUGAUGGUAAUUAGGUGUGGGGUUUCAGGCUGGUUCCUUCCCUUAUCCCUGGUGCUGAAUCCACCUUUGGUAUCCCUCAUGCUG
This is a non-coding RNA of Chiloscyllium plagiosum (whitespotted bambooshark), 913 nucleotides long. The record is from RefSeq and is a predicted model, not a curated record. NCBI's taxonomy places the organism in Eukaryota, Metazoa, Chordata, Chondrichthyes, Orectolobiformes, Hemiscylliidae.